AGAAUUCCUUACCUGCUAAAGACAAUGAUAUAUCGUUGAGAAAGAAAACUCAUAAAGGUAAGAGAUUAUGCUAGACACUGAUAAUGUUUA
This 90-nucleotide non-coding RNA is filed under the name bovine gut metagenome. RNAcentral's name for it is "PGK RNA". It matches the Rfam family "PGK RNA". From Rfam's summary of the family: mammalian gut metagenomes. Environment (Cow rumen (57)) The record is from RNAcentral.